RNAcentral lists this ribosomal RNA (712 nucleotides) under uncultured bacterium. RNAcentral describes it as "bacterial SSU rRNA". It matches the Rfam family "Bacterial small subunit ribosomal RNA", at positions 8 to 755 of the family's 1533-position model. The record is from RNAcentral.
AGAGUUUGAUCAUGGCUCAGAACGAACGCUGGCGGCAGGCCUAACACAUGCAAGUCGAACGUGAAGCCACCUUCGGGUGGUGGAAAGUGGCAGACGGGUGAGUAACGCGUGGGAAUCUACCCAAUGGUACGGAAUAACUCAGGGAAACUUGAGCUAAUACCGUAUGUGCCCGAAAGGGGAAAGAUUUAUCGCCAUUGGAUGAGCCCGCGUCGGAUUAGCUAGUUGGUGGGGUAACGGCCCACCAAGGCGACGAUCCGUAGCUGGUCUGAGAGGAUGAUCAGCCACACUGGGACUGAGACACGGCCCAGACUCCUACGGGAGGCAGCAGUGGGGAAUAUUGGACAAUGGGCGCAAGCCUGAUCCAGCCAUGCCGCGUGAGUGAUGAAGGCCCUAGGGUUGUAAAGCUCUUUCGGCGGGGACGAUAAUGACGGUACCCGCAGAAGAAGCCCCGGCUAACUUCGUGCCAGCAGCCGCGGUAAUACGAAGGGGGCUAGCGUUGUUCGGAAUCACUGGGCGUAAAGCGCACGUAGGCGGAUCGUUAAGUCGGGGGUGAAAUCCCAGGGCUCAACCCUGGAACUGCCUUCGAUACUGGCGAUCUUCGAGUCCGGGAGAGGUGAGUGGAACUCCGAGUGUAGAGGUGAAAUUCGUAGAUAUUCGGAAGAACACCAGUGGCGAAGGCGGCUCACUGGCCCGGUACUGACGCUGAGGUGCG